This 468-nucleotide ribosomal RNA is filed under the name uncultured bacterium. Its description in RNAcentral is "partial 16S ribosomal RNA". It matches the Rfam family "Bacterial small subunit ribosomal RNA", at positions 28 to 507 of the family's 1533-position model. The record is from RNAcentral.
GACGAACGCUGGCGGCGGGCUUAACACAUGCAAGUCGAACGGAAAGGCCCUGCUUUUGUGGGGUGCUCGAGUGGCGAACGGGUGAGUAACACGUGAGUAACCUGCCCUUGACUUUGGGAUAACUUCAGGAAACUGGGGCUAAUACCGGAUAGGAGCUCCUGCUGCAUGGUGGGGGUGGGAAAGUUUCGGCGGUUGGGGAUGGACUUGCGGCUUAUCAGCUUGUUGGUGGGGUAGUGGCUUACCAAGGCUUUGACGGGUAGCCGGCCUGAGAGGGUGACCGGCCACAUUGGGACUGAGAUACGGCCCAGACUCCUACGGGAGGCAGCAGUGGGGAAUAUUGCACAAUGGGCGGAAGCCUGAUGCAGCAACGCCGCGUGCGGGAUGACGGCCUUCGGGUUGUAAACCGCUUUCGCCUGUGACGAAGCGUGAGUGACGGUAAUGGGUAAAGAAGCACCGGCUAACUACGUG